UAAGGCUAGGGGGUCAUCCCGACUUACCAACCCUUUGCAAACUCCGAAUACCGUGGAGUACAGCAUGGCAGACACACUGCGGGUGCUAACGUCCGUUGUGGAAAGGGAAACAACCCAGACCGUCAGCUAAGGUCCCAAAGUUAUGGUUAAGUGGGAAACGAUGUGGGAAGGCCCAGACAGCUAGGAGGUUGGCUUAGAAGCAGCCACCCUUUAAAGAAAGCGUAAUAGCUCACUAGUCGAGUCGGCCUGCGCGGAAGAUGUAACGGGGCUAAGCAAUAUACCGAAGCUGCGGCAGCACGUUUACGUGCUGGGUAGGGGAGCGUUGUGUAAGUGGUUGAAGGUGAACUGAGAGGUUUGCUGGACAUAUCACAAGUGCGAAUGCUGACAUGAGUA
Molecule: ribosomal RNA, 393 nt
Filed under: Astrosyne radiata
Lineage: Eukaryota; Bacillariophyta; Fragilariophyceae; Cyclophorales; Cyclophoraceae
Description: partial Bacterial large subunit ribosomal RNA
Rfam family: Bacterial large subunit ribosomal RNA
Source: RNAcentral